This 459-nucleotide ribosomal RNA is filed under the name Salmonella enterica. RNAcentral describes it as "bacterial SSU rRNA". It matches the Rfam family "Bacterial small subunit ribosomal RNA", at positions 1 to 456 of the family's 1533-position model. Lineage: Bacteria; Pseudomonadati; Pseudomonadota; Gammaproteobacteria; Enterobacterales; Enterobacteriaceae. The record is from RNAcentral.
AAAUUGAAGAGUUUGAUCAUGGCUCAGAUUGAACGCUGGCGGCAGGCCUAACACAUGCAAGUCGAACGGUAACAGGAAGCAGCUUGCUGCUUCGCUGACGAGUGGCGGACGGGUGAGUAAUGUCUGGGAAACUGCCUGAUGGAGGGGGAUAACUACUGGAAACGGUGGCUAAUACCGCAUAACGUCGCAAGAUCAAAGAGGGGGACCUUCGGGCCUCUUGCCAUCAGAUGUGCCCAGAUGGGAUUAGCUAGUUGGUGAGGUAACGGCUCACCAAGGCGACGAUCCCUAGCUGGUCUGAGAGGAUGACCAGCCACACUGGAACUGAGACACGGUCCAGACUCCUACGGGAGGCAGCAGUGGGGAAUAUUGCACAAUGGGCGCAAGCCUGAUGCAGCCAUGCCGCGUGUAUGAAGAAGGCCUUCGGGUUGUAAAGUACUUUCAGCGGGGAGGAAGGUGUUG